This 454-nucleotide ribosomal RNA is filed under the name uncultured Bacteroidales bacterium. Its description in RNAcentral is "bacterial SSU rRNA". It matches the Rfam family "Bacterial small subunit ribosomal RNA", at positions 917 to 1370 of the family's 1533-position model. Lineage: Bacteria; Pseudomonadati; Bacteroidota; Bacteroidia; Bacteroidales. The record is from RNAcentral.
GGGCCCGCACAAGCGGAGGAACAUGUGGUUUAAUUCGAUGAUACGCGAGGAACCUUACCCGGGCUCGAACGGUGUUUGAAUAAGUGUGAAAGCAUUUAGCCAGCAAUGGCAGACAUCGAGGUGCUGCAUGGUUGUCGUCAGCUCGUGCCGUGAGGUGUCGGCUUAAGUGCCAUAACGAGCGCAACCCUUAUCUUUAGUUACCAUCAGGUUAAGCUGGGGACUCUAGAGAGACUGCCACCGUAAGGUGAGAGGAAGGUGGGGAUGACGUCAAAUCAGCACGGCCCUUACGUCCGGGGCGACACACGUGUUACAAUGGGGGGGACAAAGGGGUCGCUACUUGGCAACAAGAUGCUAAUCUCUAAACCCUCUCCCAGUUCGGAUCGGAGUCUGCAACUCGACUCCGUGAAGCUGGAUUCGCUAGUAAUCGCGCAUCAGCCAUGGCGCGGUGAAUACG